This 498-nucleotide ribosomal RNA is filed under the name uncultured bacterium. Its description in RNAcentral is "partial 16S ribosomal RNA". It matches the Rfam family "Bacterial small subunit ribosomal RNA", at positions 28 to 507 of the family's 1533-position model. The record is from RNAcentral.
GACGAACGCUGGCGGCGUGCCUAAUACAUGCAAGUCGAACGAGAGCAACCGGUGCUUGCACUGGUCAAUCUAGUGGCGAACGGGUGAGUAACACGUGGGUAACCUGCCCAUCAGAGGGGGAUAACAUCCGGAAACGGAUGCUAAAACCGCAUAGGUCUUCGAACCGCAUGGUUUGAAGAGGAAAAGAGGCGCAAGCUUCUGCUGAUGGAUGGACCCGCGGUGCAUUAGCUAGUUGGUGAGGUAACGGCUCACCAAGGCCGUGAUGCAUAGCCGACCUGAGAGGGUGAUCGGCCACAUUGGGACUGAGACACGGCCCAAACUCCUACGGGAGGCAGCAGUAGGGAAUCUUCCGCAAUGGACGCAAGUCUGACGGAGCAACGCCGCGUGAGUGAAGAAGGUUUUCGGAUCGUAAAACUCUGAUGUUAGAGAAGAACAAGUGCUAGAGUAACUGUUAGCGCCUUGACGGUAUCUAACCAGAAAGCCACGGCUAACUACGUG